GAGGUAGUGACAAGAAAUAACAAUACGGGGCUUAAAGUCUUGUAAUUGGAAUGAUGGGAAUUUAAACCUCUUCCAGAGUAUCAAUUGGAGGGCAAGUCUGGUGCCAGCAGCCGCGGUAAUUCCAGCUCCAAUAGCGUAUAUUAAAAUUGUUGCAGUUAAAAAGCUCGUAGUUGAAUUUCUGCUGCAUCGCUGUGUCCCUUCGGGGUCUCUGCAUGUGGCUUAUUUCGGACGGAGUUCGCUUUGUCUGGAUGUUUACUUUGAGAAAAUUAGAGUGCUCAAAGCAGGCUUUUGCCUUGAAUAGUUUAGCAUGGAAUAAUAAAGUAGGACUUUGGUUCUAUUUUGUUGGUUUUAGGUACCAAAGUAAUGGUUAAUAGGAACAGUUGGGGGCAUUCGUAUUUAACUGUCAGAGGUGAAAUUCUUAGAUUUGUUAAAGACGAACUACUGCGAAAGCAUUUGCCAAGGAUGUUUUCAUUAAUCAAGAACGAAAGUUAGGGGA
This 496-nucleotide ribosomal RNA is filed under the name Theileria parva. RNAcentral's name for it is "SSU rRNA". It matches the Rfam family "Eukaryotic small subunit ribosomal RNA", at positions 461 to 997 of the family's 1831-position model. The record is from RNAcentral. Lineage: Eukaryota; Apicomplexa; Aconoidasida; Piroplasmida; Theileriidae.